Molecule: ribosomal RNA, 466 nt
Filed under: uncultured bacterium
Lineage: Bacteria
Description: partial 16S ribosomal RNA
Rfam family: Bacterial small subunit ribosomal RNA
Source: RNAcentral
GACGAACGCUGGCGGCGUGCUUAACACAUGCAAGUCGAACGGAAAGGCCCUGCUUUUGUGGGGUGCUCGAGUGGCGAACGGGUGAGUAACACGUGAGUAACCUGCCCUUGACUUUGGGAUAACUUCAGGAAACUGGGGCUAAUACCGGAUAGGAGCUCCUGCUGCAUGGUGGGGGUUGGAAAGUUUCGGCGGUUGGGGAUGGACUCGCGGCUUAUCAGCUUGUUGGUGGGGUAGUGGCUUACCAAGGCUUUGACGGGUAGCCGGCCUGAGAGGGUGACCGGCCACAUUGGGACUGAGAUACGGACCAGACUCCUACGGGAGGCAGCAGUGGGGAAUAUUGCACAAUGGGCGGAAGCCUGAUGCAGCAACGCCGCGUGCGGGAUGACGGCCUUCGGGUUGUAAACCGCUUUCGCCUGUGACGAAGCGUGAGUGACGGUAAUGGGUAAAGAAGCACCGGCUAACUACG